This is a long non-coding RNA of Sinocyclocheilus grahami, 677 nucleotides long. RefSeq lists it as uncharacterized. The transcript has 3 exons. Lineage: Eukaryota; Metazoa; Chordata; Actinopteri; Cypriniformes; Cyprinidae. The record is from RefSeq and is a predicted model, not a curated record.
CAAAUACUCACCUCUGUCCACAGGAACCAGCAGCAGAUCAAACAUCCUCUUAGACACAUGGUCUGCAUCUGAAAUCGCAUAACCUCUGAGCAGGCGAGGUACAGCAGAGGUUGUUUUGGGACACGCUGCUGAAUGCUAAACAGUCUAAAUCCUGUUUCAGCUGCAGUGACACAUUCAAACGUCGAACUCAUGAUAUAAAACGGGAAAUAAACACGGGCACGGCUCCAGGAGAGCGACCUGAAGGCUCGGGGUGCAUGACAUCUCGUCUGGCGUGUGUCCAGAUGUCUUCAGGGAGUCGCUGAGGAAGAGGAGGAGAGGAAGAGGCAGGAUACCUCUUUCUUUCUCAGACUCAUGGAUGUUUGACAAGACCCCAAACAUUUGAUUUGGUUUAAUUGACCUCCACCAGAACCGUAAAGAGAUACAUCAUGCUGAAGAGUUCCUCUACAAACACCAAGUGUGUGUGUGUGUGUGUGUGUGUGUGUGUGUGUGUGUGAGAGAGAGAGAGCAUUUGAACAGAAGGAUAUUGAUUAUAUUCCAGUCCUCUAGGGCACAAACGCACUGGCGUAUAGCGAGAAGAAUGACACCACUUAUUCCCCAUACAUUCCUCUUUUUUUCCUUCCUCACACACAUAUUUCUUUCCCUGGAGAGAAGCCAUCACUCAUUACUGUCCCACCAGC